Molecule: long non-coding RNA, 852 nt
Filed under: Felis catus (domestic cat)
Lineage: Eukaryota; Metazoa; Chordata; Mammalia; Carnivora; Felidae
Description: lncRNA (ENSFCAG00000046578.2)
Source: RNAcentral
CGGCGCCCCUCACGUCUCCACGCGGGAAAGUUGCUUCCUGACUCUGAGCUCUCCCCCGGCUCGGGCAGCCGAGUGCAGUGAUCAUUCCCGAUCCCAAAAGCGUCUCUACGCCCCUUGGGGAGUGCGAAGAGUGCAGCGUCCUUGGAAGCCAGCUUUGAGCAAGGCACCUGACCUUCCAGGACUUGAGGAGGCGCCUCAGAGAAACCCUGCCUCACUGUCUGCUCGCGUCUCAGAUUAAAAUCGCCCUUGCUCUCCAUUUCUACCACUUUGAGGGUCUGGAUUCUGUCUGCACAGGAACACAACAAAGAACCUACCCCUUCCAGGUCAUUUUCCUUCCAUCUUAAAUCCCACAUAAUAAUGACGCUGCAUCGGUUGGCCUCUAAACAGACCCUGGUCAUUUCAGCCGAGCUCAAUCACCAGAGGAAUAGCCAGGCCACACUGAGAAUGGAUUUUUUUCCCCUUUAACUACAUGGGAAGGCAAUAACUGUAGCUGUUGAGAACAUGAAAGCUGUAACUAUACCGUGUUUGAAUCCUUGUUCUGUUACUUCUUAGUUUUUGACUUUGGGCAAGCUGUUUGCCUAGGUUCCUUAUCUACCCAAGGAGGGUAAUAAUAAUAAUUACUUUCAGGAGUUGCAUGAGGAUGAAAUCUAUUCAAACAUAUAAAUUAGGGCAGUACCUGGUAUAUAAUAAGUGUUCUUCAAGUGUUCCCCAUUUUAUUUGCAUGGAAAUGAUCAACUCUUAGAUUUCCCAAAAAAGAAACAUAUAAAUCUUACCACUUAGAGCUCAGACAAUGAGCAGACCCCUUGAUCCCCGGGUUAUGAGGGAGUGUGCCCCGGAGGUGUGGAGCCCAGC